GCCACCAAACACUUCUCACAAAGGUCCACCUGACUCACACUGGUGAGCAGCAUAUAGGAAAAAGCCAGUUGAGGCUCUGACUAAAGGUGACCUGAUAGUCCACCUCCCAUUCCUUUGACAUCUGAUCAAGUGGAUGGACUUGCCUUUGUGUUAUUAGGAAAGUCUGAUGGAUGCAGAGAGACAGACUUUUAACAUUUCUGUGGACUUUUCUGAAAUACUUAGAAGUAUAAUUUCUGGCCCAGCCCCAACUGGAAUCUUGUACCGAAUGAGGAGAGGAUGGCUGCUUAACCUCCUUGAAUGGCUUUAAGGGCACUGCUCUUUGGUUUUCUAAGCAGCUUCAGGAGAGAGUGAGUCUCCCCUGUCAUAACUUUGGCUUAGUUUCAUCAGCUGCAUCUAGUUGUAGACGUUUUGUUAAAAUAGAUAUUUUGCUUUAAAUAUUGCAGCUUUCCAUAAUGCAGUAUUCUAAGUGUACUUUAAGACUGUGACUUACUGACACUUGUUGUAUCUAUUGUAGAAAGGUAUUAUACCAGCAGACACUCACUCUGGCAGAGUAGUGAACCUUACUAAACAUAUUUGACUUCUGAAUAAAUUAAACUAAAUCCAAACUUUAAAAAAUUUCCUAAAAGUCACAGGGCAUUAAAGACCACCACAUCUAUGCCAGAGAUUUACUGUUAUUAGCUGGAAAGACCCAGUUCUAACAGCAAAUAACAGUCUGCUUCAUCAUACCUCAUUGCUUCGAAGCACAUCCCUCCUGAGCUAACGUGGAGGGGAGGGGAGCGCUGUGCAGUCCCAGUUCCCACGCUGAGGGCACACGAAUUCCUUUUGUUAUGAGUGCUUACUUCUCACUGGUUGUCCCAGAGAGGCUUCCUCAUGUAGCUCUGCAAUUCCUGUUCUUUACAGAUAGGAAAGUUCCAGAAACUUUAAGAACUAAUUCUGAAGGGCCUGUGAGAAAAAGGUGCUGAAUACUUUUUUUAAAGUCACAGUUUUCGUUGUUUUAGUCAAAGUAGGAUUAGGUGAUUAUUUUAAAUUAGCGACUUCAAGUAUAACAAUUGAAAGUGGAAUAAGUGUUUAUUUUCUAUUAGUAAAAUGAAUUUUGAC
This is a long non-coding RNA of Pipistrellus kuhlii (Kuhl's pipistrelle), 1098 nucleotides long. RefSeq lists it as uncharacterized. NCBI's taxonomy places the organism in Eukaryota, Metazoa, Chordata, Mammalia, Chiroptera, Vespertilionidae. The transcript is spliced from 2 exons. The record is from RefSeq and is a predicted model, not a curated record.